This 848-nucleotide ribosomal RNA is filed under the name Ramularia lamii var. lamii. RNAcentral describes it as "eukaryotic LSU rRNA". It matches the Rfam family "Eukaryotic large subunit ribosomal RNA", at positions 50 to 929 of the family's 3401-position model. Lineage: Eukaryota; Fungi; Ascomycota; Dothideomycetes; Mycosphaerellales; Mycosphaerellaceae. The record is from RNAcentral.
GCGGAGGAAAAGAAACCAACAGGGAUUGCCCUAGUAACGGCGAGUGAAGCGGCAACAGCUCAAAUUUGAAAUCUGGCGCAAGCCCGAGUUGUAAUUUGUAGAGGAUGCUUCUAGGUAGCGACCGGUCUAAGUUCCUUGGAACAGGACGUCAUAGAGGGUGAGAAUCCCGUAUGUGACCGGCCCGCACCUUCUACGUAGCUCCUUCGACGAGUCGAGUUGUUUGGGAAUGCAGCUCUAAAUGGGAGGUAAAUUUCUUCUAAAGCUAAAUACCGGCCAGAGACCGAUAGCGCACAAGUAGAGUGAUCGAAAGAUGAAAAGCACUUUGGAAAGAGAGUUAAAAAGCACGUGAAAUUGUUGAAAGGGAAGCGCUUACAACCAGACUUCUGGGCGGUGUUCCGCCGGUCUUUUGACCGGUCUACUCGCCGUCCCGAGGCCAACAUCAUCUGGGACCGCUGGAUAAGACCUUAGGAAUGUAGCUCCCCUCGGGGAGUGUUAUAGCCUGUGGUGAUGCAGCGCGUCUCGGGUGAGGUCCGCGCUUCGGCAAGGAUGUUGGCGUAAUGGUUGUCAGCGGCCCGUCUUGAAACACGGACCAAGGAGUCUAACAUCUAUGCGAGUGUUCGGGUGUCAAACCCCUACGCGUAAUGAAAGUGAACGGAGGUGGGAAGGGUAACCUGCACCAUCGACCGAUCCUGAUGUCCUCGGAUGGAUUUGAGUAAGAGCAUAGCUGUUGGGACCCGAAAGAUGGUGAACUAUGCCUGAAUAGGGUGAAGCCAGAGGAAACUCUGGUGGAGGCUCGCAGCGGUUCUGACGUGCAAAUCGAUCGUCAAAUUUGGGUAUAGGGGCGAAAG